Non-coding RNA from Drosophila melanogaster (fruit fly), 734 nucleotides. The record is from Ensembl. NCBI's taxonomy places the organism in Eukaryota, Metazoa, Arthropoda, Insecta, Diptera, Drosophilidae.
ACAAGAUUACCGAUGAGAAUGUUAAUGUCAAAUAAAAGUUAAUAUAUUAACAAAACUCCUUUUGAACGGCAUAGAAUAACGAAACUGGGAACUGAUAUCCUUGGCAACGUCUGUGUUCAAACUCCACGCCUGCCGCGCGUCACUCCCCCUCCUCCGAGUGCACAUGCUGCUUUCCAGCGGCUGUACACACGAUCAAAAGCUGCUGCUCGUGGCCCCCGAUAGCGGCUCCAUGGAAGAGACCAUUUCCUCCGCCGGCAGCGACAACAGCACAGCGGCAACAACAACAACCACAACGGCAAUGGGGCAAUGUGUGCAAGUGCGUGGCUGCGGGCAGAGCGGCGGCAGCGAAGCCGGCAGCGUUGAAUCGAAAAGUACAGUCGAAAACAAACACAACAACAUGGCAGCAGAGAAGGCGGCAGCGACGCGACGUCGACGCGGCGUAAACAUUCCGAUCGCCAACUGCAAUGCUUACCAUUCCUGGCCACGGAGUGAAGCCCUUCAUUUUGGCCCUGCAAAGAAAAUGCGCUAUCAGAACAGGGAAAACUCAUAUUGGCCGCAAGGAGGAAAAGCAAGAAAAAAGGGCGCGCGCGCGAAAAAAGCGCCAACGCAGCGAAGUCGACGUCGCGCGCCCGGAAUCCACGCACGUAGCUCCGGAAUUAUGGUCGUCAUUCGGAUGGAGCUACAUGGAUACUGCGCUGCGUGGCUGUCAAAAAGGCAGCGCUAAUUGCUUUUUU